Molecule: ribosomal RNA, 436 nt
Filed under: Arachnia propionica
Lineage: Bacteria; Bacillati; Actinomycetota; Actinomycetes; Propionibacteriales; Propionibacteriaceae
Description: bacterial SSU rRNA
Rfam family: Bacterial small subunit ribosomal RNA
Source: RNAcentral
GACGAACGCUGGCGGUGUGCUUAACACAUGCAAGUCGAACGGUAAGGCCCUUUCGGGGGUACACGAGUGGCGAACGGGUGAGUAACACGUGAGUAACCUGCCCUCAUCUCUGGGAUAACAGUCGGAAACGGUUGCUAAUACUGGAUAUGAGCUUGCAAGGCAUCUUGUGGGUUGGAAAGAUAUUUUUUGGUUGGGGAUGGACUCGCGGCCUAUCAGCUUGUUGGUGAGGUAGUGGCUCACCAAGGCUUCGACGGGUAGCCGGCCUGAGAGGGCGACCGGCCACAUUGGGACUGAGAUACGGCCCAAACUCCUACGGGAGGCAGCAGUGGGGAAUAUUGCACAAUGGACGGAAGUCUGAUGCAGCAACGCCGCGUGCGGGAUGACGGCCUUCGGGUUGUAAACCGCUUUCAAUUGUGACGAAGCUUUUGUGACGUAG